Molecule: ribosomal RNA, 1073 nt
Filed under: Klebsiella sp.
Lineage: Bacteria; Pseudomonadati; Pseudomonadota; Gammaproteobacteria; Enterobacterales; Enterobacteriaceae
Description: bacterial SSU rRNA
Source: RNAcentral
GCAAGUCGAGCGGUAGCACAGAGAGCUUGCUCUCGGGUGACGAGCGGCGGACGGGUGAGUAAUGUCUGGGAAACUGCCUGAUGGAGGGGGAUAACUACUGGAAACGGUAGCUAAUACCGCAUAACGUCGCAAGACCAAAGUGGGGGACCUUCGGGCCUCAUGCCAUCAGAUGUGCCCAGAUGGGAUUAGCUAGUAGGUGGGGUAACGGCUCACCUAGGCGACGAUCCCUAGCUGGUCUGAGAGGAUGACCAGCCACACUGGAACUGAGACACGGUCCAGACUCCUACGGGAGGCAGCAGUGGGGAAUAUUGCACAAUGGGCGCAAGCCUGAUGCAGCCAUGCCGCGUGUGUGAAGAAGGCCUUCGGGUUGUAAAGCACUUUCAGCGGGGAGGAAGGCGWURAGGUUAAUAACCUYGKCGAUUGACGUUACCCGCAGAAGAAGCACCGGCUAACUCCGUGCCAGCAGCCGCGGUAAUACGGAGGGUGCAAGCGUUAAUCGGAAUUACUGGGCGUAAAGCGCACGCAGGCGGUCUGUCAAGUCGGAUGUGAAAUCCCCGGGCUCAACCUGGGAACUGCAUUCGAAACUGGCAGGCUAGAGUCUUGUAGAGGGGGGUAGAAUUCCAGGUGUAGCGGUGAAAUGCGUAGAGAUCUGGAGGAAUACCGGUGGCGAAGGCGGCCCCCUGGACAAAGACUGACGCUCAGGUGCGAAAGCGUGGGGAGCAAACAGGAUUAGAUACCCUGGUAGUCCACGCCGUAAACGAUGUCGAUUUGGAGGUUGUGCCCUUGAGGCGUGGCUUCCGGAGCUAACGCGUUAAAUCGACCGCCUGGGGAGUACGGCCGCAAGGUUAAAACUCAAAUGAAUUGACGGGGGCCCGCACAAGCGGUGGAGCAUGUGGUUUAAUUCGAUGCAACGCGAAGAACCUUACCUGGUCUUGACAUCCACAGAACUUUCCAGAGAUGSAUUGGUGCCUUCGGGAACUGUGAGACAGGUGCUGCAUGGCUGUCGUCAGCUCGUGUUGUGAAAUGUUGGGUUAAGUCCCGCAACGAGCGCAACCCUUAUCCUUUGUUGCCAG